Molecule: long non-coding RNA, 225 nt
Filed under: Vitis vinifera (wine grape)
Lineage: Eukaryota; Viridiplantae; Streptophyta; Magnoliopsida; Vitales; Vitaceae
Description: long non-coding RNA (VVIN_LNC006777)
Source: RNAcentral
UUGUUGCAUAGCCUGCAACAUGAGGGAUGACUCCUCCCCUCCUUCCUUAUUUGAUGUUUCACCCUCGGAAGACAUAUUUUUGAAACUACAAAAAAAAUGUUAGAAAUAAUUCCUCACAACACUCCCUCACGUGUUUGCACUCACACUCGUGUUUCACUCUUAAAUUGGCUUUUUCCCGAUAUUAGUCUCACACUCUCUUGCUUUUUUCCACUCGUAGCUUCCCCU